CAUCUUAAUACUUUUUCAGUGGAUCAUGAAGCAGUUUAUUUAAUAUUAUUUGGAUAACAAGCCUCCACAUGAAUGGGCUUCGAAUGUCAAUUGUCUUGGGGGAAAAAAGAUUUAUUGGUUGGUAAAUAUUGAGAAAGGAAAGCUGAUAAAGACGGGCUUCAGCUGUGGCCUCUGCUGGGAACAGGAGAACAGGCCUGUGUUGUAUUUGGGGGCCCUGGGAAGGCAAAAACUGGUGAAUGUCUGCCUUUGUUGGUGGGUGUAAAAGUGGAGCCCACCACAAAUAAUUUCUUAUUUCUGUUCACAUAGAUUUUAAAUUAUGUAGCUCCCCUACCUUGGUAAGUAUUAAAGCCGUCUUGUUUAAGGAAAAGGCAUUUAAAUAAUGAAGCUUAUGUAGCUUGUUUUCAGACAUCAAUAUCAGGCUUUGAGUGGCACAGAGAGAUAAAGGGAUGUGGAUUCAU
Molecule: small RNA, 458 nt
Filed under: Mesocricetus auratus (golden hamster)
Lineage: Eukaryota; Metazoa; Chordata; Mammalia; Rodentia; Cricetidae
Description: sRNA (ENSMAUG00000002835.1)
Source: RNAcentral